UGGGGAAUAUUGGACAAUGGGCGCAAGCCUGAUCCAGCCAUACCGCGUGGGUGAAGAAGGCCUUCGGGUUGUAAAGCCCUUUUGUUGGGAAAGAAAUCCUAUCGGUUAAUAACCGGUGGGGAUGACGGUACCCAAAGAAUAAGCACCGGCUAACUUCGUGCCAGCAGCCGCGGUAAUACGAAGGGUGCAAGCGUUACUCGGAAUUACUGGGCGUAAAGCGUGCGUAGGUGGUGGUUUAAGUCCGUUGUGAAAGCCCUGGGCUCAACCUGGGAAUUGCAGUGGAUACUGGAUCACUAGAGUGUGGUAGAGGGAUGCGGAAUUUCUGGUGUAGCAGUGAAAUGCGUAGAGAUCAGAAGGAACAUCCGUGGCGAAGGCGGCAUCCUGGGCCAACACUGACACUGAGGCACGAAAGCGUGGGGAGCAAACA
Molecule: ribosomal RNA, 427 nt
Filed under: uncultured Pseudoxanthomonas sp.
Lineage: Bacteria; Pseudomonadati; Pseudomonadota; Gammaproteobacteria; Lysobacterales; Lysobacteraceae
Description: bacterial SSU rRNA
Rfam family: Bacterial small subunit ribosomal RNA
Source: RNAcentral